This 338-nucleotide ribosomal RNA is filed under the name uncultured bacterium. RNAcentral's name for it is "bacterial SSU rRNA". It matches the Rfam family "Bacterial small subunit ribosomal RNA", at positions 28 to 363 of the family's 1533-position model. The record is from RNAcentral.
GAUGAACGCUAGCGGCAGGCUUAAUACAUGCAAGUCGAGGGGCAGCGGGGUAGCAAUACCGCCGGCGACCGGCAAACGGGUGCGGAACACGUACAGAACCUUCCUUUAAGCGGGGGAUAGCCCGGAGAAAUCCGGAUUAAUACCCAUAGUAAUACUGGUUGGCAUCAACUGGUAUUUAAAGAUUUAUCACUUAAAGAUGGCUGUGCGGCUGAUUAGGUAGUUGGUGUAGGUAACGGCUCACCAAGCCUUCGAUCAGUAACUGGUGUGAGAGCACGACCAGUCGCACGGGCACUGAGACACGGGCCCGACUCCGUACGGGAGGCAGCAGGUAAGGAAUA